AGAGAUUAAACUGAAGAGUUUGAUCCUGGCUCAGAUUGAACGCUGGCGGCAUGCCUUACACAUGCAAGUCGAAC
Molecule: ribosomal RNA, 74 nt
Filed under: Janthinobacterium sp. PC23-8
Lineage: Bacteria; Pseudomonadati; Pseudomonadota; Betaproteobacteria; Burkholderiales; Oxalobacteraceae
Description: partial 16S ribosomal RNA
Rfam family: Bacterial small subunit ribosomal RNA
Source: RNAcentral